GAUCAUUACCGAGUUUACAACUCCCAAACCCCUGUGAACAUACCAAUUGUUGCCUCGGCGGAUCAGCCCGCUCCCGGUAAAACGGGACGGCCCGCCAGAGGACCCCUAAACUCUGUUUCUAUAUGUAACUUCUGAGUAAAACCAUAAAUAAAUCAAAACUUUCAACAACGGAUCUCUUGGUUCUGGCAUCGAUGAAGAACGCAGCAAAAUGCGAUAAGUAAUGUGAAUUGCAGAAUUCAGUGAAUCAUCGAAUCUUUGAACGCACAUUGCGCCCGCCAGUAUUCUGGCGGGCAUGCCUGUUCGAGCGUCAUUUCAACCCUCAAGCCCCCGGGUUUGGUGUUGGGGAUCGGCGAGCCCUUGCGGCAAGCCGGCCCCGAAAUCUAGUGGCGGUCUCGCUGCAGCUUCCAUUGCGUAGUAGUAAAACCCUCGCAACUGGUACGCGGCGCGGCCAAGCCGUUAAACCCCCAACUUCUGAAUGUUGACCUCGGAUCAGGUAGGAAUACCCGCUGA
RNAcentral lists this unclassified non-coding RNA (510 nucleotides) under Fusarium proliferatum. RNAcentral describes it as "sequence contains 18S rRNA gene, ITS1, 5.8S rRNA gene, ITS2, 28S rRNA gene". The stretch from base 157 to 310 matches the Rfam family "5.8S ribosomal RNA". Lineage: Eukaryota; Fungi; Ascomycota; Sordariomycetes; Hypocreales; Nectriaceae. The record is from RNAcentral.